ACGUAGGGUGCGAGCGUUAAUCGGAAUUACUGGGCGUAAAGCGUGCGCAGGCGGUUCGCUAAGACAGGUGUGAAAUCCCCGGGCUUAACCUGGGAAUUGCGCUUGUGACUGGCGGGCUAGAGUAUUGUAGAGGGGGGUGGAAUUCCACGUGUAGCGGUGAAAUGCGUAGAGAUGUGGAGGAAUACCGAUGGCGAAGGCAGCCCCCUGGACAAAUACUGACGCUCAGGCACGAAAGCGUGGGGAGCAAACAG
Molecule: ribosomal RNA, 251 nt
Filed under: uncultured prokaryote
Description: partial 16S ribosomal RNA
Rfam family: Bacterial small subunit ribosomal RNA
Source: RNAcentral